This 253-nucleotide ribosomal RNA is filed under the name uncultured bacterium. Its description in RNAcentral is "partial 16S ribosomal RNA". It matches the Rfam family "Bacterial small subunit ribosomal RNA", at positions 524 to 776 of the family's 1533-position model. The record is from RNAcentral.
UACAGAGGGUGCAAGCGUUAAUCGGAAUUACUGGGCGUAAAGCGCGCGUAGGCCGUCGAGUAAGUCGGGUGUGAAAUCCCUGGGCUUAACCUGGGAAUUGCAUUCGAUACUGCUUGACUAGAGUGUGGAAGAGGGAAGCGGAAUUUCCGGUGUAGCGGUGAAAUGCGUAGAUAUCGGAAGGAACACCAGUGGCGAAGGCGGCUUCCUGGUCCAACACUGACGCUGAGGCGCGAAAGCGUGGGGAGCAAACAGG